AGAGAAGCUGGAUAAGGGCACACGGAGGAUGCCUAGGCGGUGGAAGCCGAAGAAGGACGUGCUAAGCUGCGAAAAGCCCGGGGGAGGUGCACAGGACCUGUGAUACCGGGAUAUCCGAAUGGGAGAACCUGCAUACCUGGAGGGUAUGCGUGAAAACGGUAAGCCUGCGAACUGAAACAUCUAAGUAGCAGGAGGAAAAGAAAGUAAAAACGAUUCCCCAAGUAGCGGCGAGCGAACAGGGAAAAGCC
RNAcentral lists this ribosomal RNA (248 nucleotides) under Atopobium sp. RNAcentral's name for it is "partial 23S ribosomal RNA". It matches the Rfam family "Bacterial large subunit ribosomal RNA", at positions 1 to 269 of the family's 2925-position model. Lineage: Bacteria; Bacillati; Actinomycetota; Coriobacteriia; Coriobacteriales; Atopobiaceae. The record is from RNAcentral.